Molecule: non-coding RNA, 22 nt
Filed under: Sclerotinia trifoliorum
Lineage: Eukaryota; Fungi; Ascomycota; Leotiomycetes; Helotiales; Sclerotiniaceae
Source: RNAcentral
UCUGAUAUCAUUUGUCAUUUGA